Molecule: ribosomal RNA, 541 nt
Filed under: uncultured bacterium
Lineage: Bacteria
Description: bacterial SSU rRNA
Rfam family: Bacterial small subunit ribosomal RNA
Source: RNAcentral
UGAGGAAUAUUGGGCAAUGGACGAAAGUCUGACCCAGCCAUGCCGCGUGCAGGAUGAAGGCCCUAUGGGUUGUAAACUGCUUUUGUACAGGAGGAAACACCUGAACGUGUUCAGGUUUGACAGUACUGUGCGAAUAAGCAUCGGCUAACUCCGUGCCAGCAGCCGCGGUAAUACGGAGGAUGCAAGCGUUAUCCGGAUUUAUUGGGUUUGAAGGGUGCGUAGGCGGGAUAAUAAGUCAGAGGUGAAAUCUCCCGGCUUAACCGGGAAACUGUCUUUGAUACUGUUAUUCUUGAGUAUAGUUGAGGUGGGCGGAAUGUGUAAUGUAGCGGUGAAAUGCAUAGAUAUUACACAGAACACCUAUUGCGAAGGCAGCUCACUAAACUAAGACUGACGCUGAGGCACGAAAGCGUGGGUAGCGAACAGGAUUAGAUACCCUGGUAGUCUACGCCGUAAACGAUGAAUACUCGAUGUGUGCGACAUAUUGUACGCGUCUGAGCUAAAGCAUUAAGUAUUCCACCUGGGGAGUACGACCGCAAGGUUG